This is a long non-coding RNA of Ixodes scapularis (black-legged tick), 306 nucleotides long. RefSeq lists it as uncharacterized. Lineage: Eukaryota; Metazoa; Arthropoda; Arachnida; Ixodida; Ixodidae. The record is from RefSeq and is a predicted model, not a curated record. The transcript is spliced from 4 exons.
GUUAAAGACUUCGGAAAGCCUGGUGGCGACGGAGAGAUUCUGCAAAAGCUAUUGCUAGAGCGAGCUUCCCGCAACCCAAACUGGUUUUCAGAAAAAGCUAUUGAAAAAUUUCUGAAGUCUAGGCUUCCUUUGUCAAGCACGUCAAUGGCAAUGAGUCUUCCGAGGAACAAAUUUCCCACGAAAAAAGAUCAACUCAGACAGGCAGCUGCACUCACAGCAGGAGCGCUGAAUUUCAAGCAUUUAAUUGAAAGACAACUUCUCCAGCCUGAUGUCAGCGGAAAAACACCCUUGGACAUGUCGUAAUAC